This 328-nucleotide long non-coding RNA is filed under the name Elaeis guineensis (African oil palm). Its description in RNAcentral is "long non-coding RNA (EGUI_LNC032261)". The record is from RNAcentral. Lineage: Eukaryota; Viridiplantae; Streptophyta; Magnoliopsida; Arecales; Arecaceae.
CUCUCUCUCUUUCUUUGCCUUCCCCUCAGAAACAUCACUGUUAUCCUGAAGUGAUCCGAUUUACGCAUAUAAGGGUCUUCUAUCAGGAAAUCUCUGACAAGUGUACUUUCAUUGCUUGUGGAAUUUUAAGAUCAAUCCGAGCGUUGGACCAAAGAUCCACCGUCAACCACUUUGAGAUUUCUAGCAAGCUAUCUAGAUUCUUGGAUCACCAUCCUCAGCUCUCUAGCUAGCUCAUCAGUUUAAACCAAAUCGAUCUAAGUGGCAAUAGAUUGAUACUAAAGGAAGAGCCCUGGCCACAUUAUUAGAAAUUUUCACUACAAUAACCAUA